AACGAACGCUGGCGGCAGGCUUAACACAUGCAAGUCGAGCGCCCCGCAAGGGGAGCGGCGGACGGGUGAGUAACACGUGGGAACAUGCCCUUUGGUUCGGAACAACUCAGGGAAACUUGAGCUAAUACCGAAUGUGCCGGUAACGGGAAAGAUUUAUCGCCAAGGGAUUGGCCCGCGUCCGAUUAGCUAGUUGGUGAGGUAAAGGCUCACCAAGGCUCCGAUCGGUAGCUGGUUUGAGAGAACGACCAGCCACACUGGGACUGAGACACGGCCCAGACUCCUACGGGAGGCAGCAGUGGGGAAUCUUGGACAAUGGGGGAAACCCUGAUCCAGCCAUGCCGCGUGAGUGAUGAAGGCCUUCGGGUUGUAAAACUCUUUCGACGGGGACGAUAAUGACGGUACCCGUAGAAGAAGCUCCGGCUAACUUCGUGCCAGCAGCCGCGGUAAUACGAAGGGGGCUAGCGUUGUUCGGAAUUACUGGGCGUAAAGCGCGCGCAGGCGGCUUCUCAAGUCAGGGGUGAAAGCCCAGAGCUCAACUCUGGAACUGCCCUUGAAACUGUGAAGCUUGAGUACGGUAGAGGUGAGUGGAAUUCCCAGUGUAGAGGUGAAAUUCGUAGAUAUUGGGAAGAACACCGGUGGCGAAGGCGGCUCACUGGACCGUUACUGACGCUCAGGCGCGACAGCGUGGGGAUCAAACAGGAUUAGAUACCCUGGUAGUCCACGCCGUAAACGAUGGACGCUAGCCGUUGGCAGGCUUGCCUGUCAGUGGCGCAGCUAACGCAUUAAGCGUCCCGCCUGGGGAGUACGGCCGCAAGGUUG
This 819-nucleotide ribosomal RNA is filed under the name uncultured bacterium. RNAcentral describes it as "bacterial SSU rRNA". It matches the Rfam family "Bacterial small subunit ribosomal RNA", at positions 28 to 896 of the family's 1533-position model. The record is from RNAcentral.